Molecule: long non-coding RNA, 555 nt
Organism: Oreochromis niloticus (Nile tilapia)
Lineage: Eukaryota; Metazoa; Chordata; Actinopteri; Cichliformes; Cichlidae
Exons: 3
Source: RefSeq, a predicted model, not a curated record
CACAUCCUAGUUAGUAUGCAAAGAGAAGAGUAGUAUGUUGGCACUGUAGGGAUCAGCCAAUAAAUUCAUGUCAACACCAGGUAGGCGGGGCGGUGCUUUGCGGGAUCCCCAGCACGCAUCAGACGUCAGCAGAGGGAGCGUUUUUAAAGAGCUGUGCGACGGAUGUCUGGUGUCGGAGUAUUGUCGCUUCCACAAGUAGUAAUGUGUUUUGCACUAAAACUCUCAAGACUGACGCUACUUCUGCUAAGUAUUCAGGAUUUGUCUCCUUGCCUGUGUUUCCUUGCACUAGCCUGUCCCGCUACCUGCUCGCCCACCUGUUGUUUUGGAAAUUGUGUUCCCUGAUCUAAAAGGGAGAUCUGCCUCGCCUCUGCCUGUGGUUCCAGAAGGUCACCGUCCACGUUUGCAUUUUCAGUGUGUCAAAUCGCUCCAGUACGCCACCAAUACUCCGACACGCCCUGGGAUCUGUGUUUUGUUUUCUUCCCCUCCCACGUUGACCUUGUCACUGUAAAUAGCCCUGACCCUUGUAAAUACCCCUAUCACUGUAAAUAAACAACA